GACGAACGCUGGCGGCGUGCCUAAUACAUGCAAGUCGAACGCAUUUUCUUUCACCGUAGCUUGCUACACCGAAAGAAAAUGAGUGGCGAACGGGUGAGUAACACGUGGGUAACCUGCCCAUCAGCGGGGGAUAACACUUGGAAACAGGUGCUAAUACCGCAUAAUUCCAUUUACCGCAUGGUAGAUGGAUGAAAGGCGCUUUUGCGUCACUGAUGGAUGGACCCGCGGUGCAUUAGCUAGUUGGUGGGGUAACGGCCUACCAAGGCUGCGAUGCAUAGCCGACCUGAGAGGGUGAUCGGCCACACUGGGACUGAGACACGGCCCAGACUCCUACGGGAGGCAGCAGUAGGGAAUCUUCGGCAAUGGACGCAAGUCUGACCGAGCAACGCCGCGUGAGUGAAGAAGGUUGUCGGAUCGUAAAACUCUGUUGUUAGAGAAGAACAAGGAUGAGAGUGGAAAGUUCAUCCCUUGACGGUAUCUAACCAGAAAGCCACGGCUAACUACGUG
RNAcentral lists this ribosomal RNA (507 nucleotides) under uncultured bacterium. Its description in RNAcentral is "partial 16S ribosomal RNA". It matches the Rfam family "Bacterial small subunit ribosomal RNA", at positions 28 to 507 of the family's 1533-position model. The record is from RNAcentral.